RNAcentral lists this transfer RNA (84 nucleotides) under Bacteroidales bacterium. RNAcentral describes it as "tRNA-Ser". It matches the Rfam family "tRNA". Rfam says of the family: Transfer RNA (tRNA) molecules are approximately 80 nucleotides in length. Their secondary structure includes four short double-helical elements and three loops (D, anti-codon, and T loops). Lineage: Bacteria; Pseudomonadati; Bacteroidota; Bacteroidia; Bacteroidales. The record is from RNAcentral.
GCCGGGUUGGCCGAGCGGUCUAAGGCGGCGGUCUUGAAAAUCGUUGGACGUAAUGUCACGUGGGUUCAAAUCCUACACCCGGCG